GACGAACGCUGGCGGCGUGCUUAACACAUGCAAGUCGAACGGAAAGGCCCUGCUUGCAGGGUACUCGAGUGGCGAACGGGUGAGUAACACGUGGGUGAUCUGCCCUGCACUUCGGGAUAAGCCUGGGAAACUGGGUCUAAUACCGGAUAGGAGCCAUUUUUAGCGUGAUGGUUGGAAAGUUUUUUCGGUGUAGGAUGAGCUCGCGGCCUAUCAGCUUGUUGGUGGGGUAAUGGCCUACCAAGGCGGCGACGGGUAGCCGGCCUGAGAGGGUGGACGGCCACAUUGGGACUGAGAUACGGCCCAGACUCCUACGGGAGGCAGCAGUGGGGAAUAUUGCACAAUGGGCGCAAGCCUGAUGCAGCGACGCCGCGUGGGGGAUGACGGCCUUCGGGUUGUAAAAUCCUUUCGCUAGGGACGAAGCUUUUUGUGACGGUACCUAGAUAAGAAGCACCGGCUAACUACGUG
Molecule: ribosomal RNA, 465 nt
Filed under: uncultured bacterium
Lineage: Bacteria
Description: partial 16S ribosomal RNA
Rfam family: Bacterial small subunit ribosomal RNA
Source: RNAcentral